This 460-nucleotide ribosomal RNA is filed under the name uncultured bacterium. RNAcentral's name for it is "partial 16S ribosomal RNA". It matches the Rfam family "Bacterial small subunit ribosomal RNA", at positions 338 to 795 of the family's 1533-position model. The record is from RNAcentral.
CCUACGGGAGGCAGCAGUGAGGAAUAUUGGUCAAUGGCCGUAAGGCUGAACCAGCCAAGUCGCGUGAAGGAAGAAGGACCUAUGGUUUGUAAACUUCUUUUAUCGGGGAAUAAAGGUAUCCACGUGUGGAUAUUUGCAUGUACCCUAUGAAUAAGCAUCGGCUAACUCCGUGCCAGCAGCCGCGGUAAUACGGAGGAUGCGAGCGUUAUCCGGAUUUAUUGGGUUUAAAGGGUGCGUAGGUUGUUUUUUAAGUCAGGGGUGAAAGUUUGUGGCUCAACCAUAAAAUUGCCGUUGAAACUGGAAGACUUGAGUGUGUUUGAGGUAGGCGGAAUGCGUGGUGUAGCGGUGAAAUGCAUAGAUAUCACGCAGAACUCCGAUUGCGAAGGCAGCUUACUAAGCCAUAACUGACACUGAAGCACGAAAGCGUGGGUAUCAAACAGGAUUAGAUACCCCAGUAGUC